GGAUACCUGAGGUAAUUCUUGAGCUAAUACAUGAACUUAAGCAGAGUGCCUCGCGUGCUCUGUCCAUUUAUUAGACCAAAACCAGGCGGCUUCGGUCGUUUUUUGGUGACUCUGAAUAACUUCGUCAAUCGCAUGAUCUCGCAUCGGCGAUACGUCAAUCAAGUUUCUGCCCUAUCAACUUUUGAUGGUUCUGUAUUGGAGAACCAUGGUGAUAACGGGUAACGGAGAAUUAGGGUUUGACUCCGGAGAGGGAGCCUGAGAAACGGCUACCACAUCCAAGGAAGGCAGCAGGCGCGAAAAUUACCCACUCUCAGUGCGAGGAGGUAGUGACGAAAAAUAACAAGGCGGAUCACUUUGUGAGCCGCUAUUGGAAUGGGUACAAUUUAAACCCUUUAACGAGGACCUAUGAGAGGGCAAGUCUGGUGCCAGCAGCCGCGGUAAUUCCAGCUCUCAAAAUGUACUUAACCAUUGUUGCGGUUAAAAAGCUCGUAGUUGGAUCUACGCGAUGCGAGGUGGUUCGUUCUUUGGACGUUCACUGCCUCGUGUCGCUCUCUGUUGUCGGUUUUCGGCAGGUGCUCUUUACGGGGUGCUUGUCGUGACUGACGAGUUUACUUUGAAUUAAUUGGAGUGCUUAAAACAGGCGUUUCGCUUGAACAGUCUAGCAUGGAAUAAUGGAAUAGGACUUCGGUUCGAUUUUAUUGGUUUUAUGGAUCGAAGUAAUGAUUAGUAGGAACAAACGGGGGCAUUCGUAUUGUAGCGUUAGAGGUGAAAUUCUAGGAUCGCUGCAAGACGGUCGACUGCGAAAGCAUUUGCCAAGAAUGUUUUCAUUAAUCAAGAACG
Molecule: ribosomal RNA, 840 nt
Filed under: Steinernema sp. VK-2013
Lineage: Eukaryota; Metazoa; Nematoda; Chromadorea; Rhabditida; Steinernematidae
Description: SSU rRNA
Rfam family: Eukaryotic small subunit ribosomal RNA
Source: RNAcentral